This 368-nucleotide ribosomal RNA is filed under the name uncultured Anaerolineaceae bacterium. RNAcentral's name for it is "bacterial SSU rRNA". It matches the Rfam family "Bacterial small subunit ribosomal RNA", at positions 996 to 1382 of the family's 1533-position model. The record is from RNAcentral. Lineage: Bacteria; Bacillati; Chloroflexota; Anaerolineae; Anaerolineales; Anaerolineaceae.
GGGAUCCGAAAGGUGACCGACCUUCGGGAGCCAUUACAGGUGUUGCAUGGCUGUCGUCAGCUCGUGUCGUGAGAUGUUCGGUUAAGUCCGCUAACGAGCGCAACCCUCGCUGUGUGUUAUAUGUGUCACACAGGACUGCUGGUAUUAAGCCGGAGGAAGUGGGACGACGUCAAGUCAGCAUGACCUUUAUAUCCAGGGCUACACACACGCUACAAUGGUCAGUACAAUGGGUUGCCAAGCCGCGAGGCGGAGCCAAUCCUAAAAAGCUGGCCUCAGUUCAGAUUGCAGUCUGAAACUCGACUGCAUGAAGUCGGAGUUGCUAGUAAACGCAGGUCAGCUAUACUGCGUUGAAUACGUUCCCGGGGCUU